Molecule: ribosomal RNA, 303 nt
Filed under: uncultured bacterium
Lineage: Bacteria
Description: partial 16S ribosomal RNA
Rfam family: Bacterial small subunit ribosomal RNA
Source: RNAcentral
AGCAGUAGCCACGGUAAUACGUAGGGUGCGAGCGUUGUCCGGAAUUAUUGGGCGUAAAGAGCUCGUAGGCGGUCUGUCGCGUCUGCUGUGAAAACCCGAGGCUCAACCUCGGGCUUGCAGUGGGUACGGGCAGACUAGAGUGCGGUAGGGGAGAAUGGAACUCCUGGUGUAGCGGUGGAAUGCGCAGAUAUCAGGAAGAACACCGAUGGCGAAGGCAGUUCUCUGGGCCGUAACUGACGCUGAGGAGCGAAAGCGUGGGGAGCGAACAGGAUUAGAUACCCGAGUAGUCCCUGUCUCUUAUAC